CGACUGGCCAAUGGAAGAUUCGUCUUCAGCUGACCAAGCCUGUUACAUAGCCUCCAUUGGUAUGGGGAGUUUGCGGAGCUGCUGCCUCUGAUUUACAGGUGGGGAGUAACAUCCUUCCAAUUCUGAACGUCCUCCAUGUACAUACUGAAACGAAAAGAUUAUGCCUUUUUUCCCUUUGGAGAAGAGCAUGACAGGGGAGAGCUUGGAGAUGUAUAAUGGUGCUCAUUGCUCCUUCCGAACACAGAACAUGGGGUUGAAGGCCAGUUACUGUUUUAAUAGUUUAGUUAGCAGCAAAUCUAUAAUUUAGAGUUGUGAUUUGUUGGAAGGGUGGAGUAGCAUAGAGUCAUAGAGUGUUGAAGUUACAAAGGAACUUUAAUCACUUUUGGUGUAAUUACACAGCUUGCAGAGAAAUUGAAAUGCAUACGAAGCAUAGAACUAUCAUUUUAGGGGUCUUGAUAUUUUUCUUCUUCCUGCAAGCAAGAAAAAGCAACGAAGAUAUACAAAGAAUAAAGCAUAUGAAGUUGUCGGAUACUCAAAGUGGGGAGACCUAUAUGGCAAUCUUUUGUACUGAAAUCACAUCUGCCAUUUUGUGAUGAGAUAAUGGUUACACAUAUUUAUUGCAUAUAGAAUGCAGUUCCUAGAACUGAGUAGACACAAUAUAACUAAACUCAUAAAUAAUUUUGCUUUAUUUUAUUACAUCUAUCUUUCAUUUUGUUUUAUCAUAGCUAAU
Long non-coding RNA from Rosa chinensis, 730 nucleotides. RefSeq lists it as uncharacterized. NCBI's taxonomy places the organism in Eukaryota, Viridiplantae, Streptophyta, Magnoliopsida, Rosales, Rosaceae. The record is from RefSeq and is a predicted model, not a curated record. The transcript has 4 exons.